GGAGAGGUACCGAAGCGGUCAUAACGGCACCGACUCGAAAUCGGUUGAUCCUUAACUGGGUGCGCGGGUUCGAAUCCCGCCCUCUCCG
Molecule: transfer RNA, 88 nt
Filed under: Thiotrichales bacterium HSG1
Lineage: Bacteria; Pseudomonadati; Pseudomonadota; Gammaproteobacteria; Thiotrichales
Also listed under: 1 other name
Description: tRNA-Ser
Rfam family: tRNA
About the family: Transfer RNA (tRNA) molecules are approximately 80 nucleotides in length. Their secondary structure includes four short double-helical elements and three loops (D, anti-codon, and T loops).
Source: RNAcentral